AAUUCCCUGCUCUUUUGCUGCGCAAACUACCGACUGAGGUUCAACAAUUUUGCUGCCUAACUCGUUGUUUAAUACUCGUGAGACGUGGGGCAGUCGUCGCCCUCGAGUCCACCGACGACGACAACGAAGGGCCGCCAACCGUUGUCCCGUCCGACCGCGAGCUCUGCCAUAGCCGACCUCGAGAUCUGUCGUCCCUGGCUGAGAUUCUCCGCCGUUCCCGUGGGGGGUCCUACCCUUACACGAUCCAGCCCUAUGCCCUAUCUACCUGGAGCACCUCCACCGCCUGCCGGUCCCGUCCCGUCCAGUUGAUUUCCGGCCCUGUGGUUCUUCCUGCCCAAAUGUGCAACUGUUGCAAGAUGCAGCAAGCUGCUCCUCUACGGCCCUGCUGCUUGCCCAAAGAUCAUGACAACAAAGAGGUCAUGUUAAACUUUUUAUUGGAUCAGUUCCAGAACAGCAAGUGAAGAUGAUGGGAGUAACUUUCACAUUUACUGUAGUAUCCGCCCUUAGAUUUGUUAAUACAUGUACUCUCUGUUGCCUGUUGAUAUACUUUACAUAAUCUCAGGACUCGAAAGGCUGCUAGGUUGUACAACUAUUUGAGCUUUUAGCAUUUUCAUGAAAUAGCGUGAACAUUUAUAACUUAAAAUUCUUGUAAUGAAGGUUCAGGAGAUAAAGGGUGCAAUAAGUUUUUUGCUAAGAAAAUCUGGUGAUAAACUAUCUACAUCUUUCUUAGAAAGUCUGCUGCUGGAAAGAGUAGUGAGGAGCAGGACUUCGCCUCCUUGUGUUCAUUAGCUCAAAGGAUGUGACCCUAAUAUUUGGCCACCAGAUCCAUCAGGCCGAUGGAAGCCAAGACGAUGACCCAUGGCGAAGCUGCGGCGUACGUGGCAUCUUUGGUCGAGCCAAGUUAUAUAGUAUAAGAUUGUCUCAAAAGGAAUUAAGUUCGUUGACUAGCGAUAAUAAAGAUACUUGAUCCUUUUUCCAGAUCACUAUGAUAUCUCUUUCAGAUUUCUAUGUGUAUUGUAUUAUGUUUACACCGGAGCUUGAGGGACAACAUUCAGUUAGUAUUAUUAUGUAUAUAUCAUGUAUCUAUUGUGCUAUAAAAUUAUGCUUGCGUAAUUUGACUUUAAAAAAAUGUUUUCUUACA
Long non-coding RNA from Lolium perenne, 1141 nucleotides. RefSeq lists it as uncharacterized. The record is from RefSeq and is a predicted model, not a curated record. Lineage: Eukaryota; Viridiplantae; Streptophyta; Magnoliopsida; Poales; Poaceae.